UUAGGCAGCAACCAUUUGAUUUUCUGGGGGGGCUAUGGUUUUUUUUUCUGCGCAAACUUUUUUUUUCGCCUUCGGCGAAGAACAAUCUAUUUUUUUAGCGACAAACCGAAAACAAUUUUUUUCUUUCAAUUUUAGCAUUACAUAUAGUGGGAGCUGAGGGUGAAACAAACAAUUUUUUUUUUCUCAGGGUCCAAAACAAAUUAUUUUUUUCACCAACACCUGGAAACAAACUUUUUUUUCCAAAAAAAACCAUAGCCCCCCC
This 262-nucleotide long non-coding RNA is filed under the name Mytilus galloprovincialis (Mediterranean mussel). The record is from RNAcentral. Lineage: Eukaryota; Metazoa; Mollusca; Bivalvia; Mytilida; Mytilidae.